AGGAACCUGUCUCGUCGCCGCUGCCGCUCAUCCCAAAUCCUCCUCACUUUCCCAGCCAACCAACCAAAUCCACCUUCCCUUCCUCCUGAAGCACUCCACUCCUCUCGAUCCUUGCUCGCCUCGCAAGCCUCGUCGCGGGUCAACCGCACCGUUGCUCAUGGCCUGUACCAACCUCCUCCUCCGCCACCAAGUCCCACCGCCGCCAGUCAUCCUAUCUCCUUCCACCUCCGGAUUGCCCCUGAUCCAAACCCUCCAAUCACCCAUAGCUUCCAGAUCCGUCGCCACCAACCUUCUCCUAGUCUCCCGACCUAGCCACCCGGCUCUCAGUGCCGCCUCCCUCUUCUUGCCGAGCAUCCCCGCUCGAGGAGGAGCCCCGCUCACUCCUAGAUCGAUCCCCGCUCCCCUGCAGCUGAGCUGCUAGACCAGCCGCUCACCAAGAGCUAGCAGCAGCCCCGCUAUCAUCAGGCCAGGACCUCCUUGUCGCUCCUCUUCUCCCACUCCCCCUGUUUUUUCUUGUUGCCCCUGCCUCUCCCUAUGGCCUGAUCUCUUGCCACUGACCGGAACUGACAUGGCCGUCCUAAAGCCCCUGCCCCGAGCACCCCGCAAGAAGUAGCGAUAGUCCCGAACAGCGCCGCCCAUGGCCUUGUCUCUGGCCAGAACGAGUCGUCCCCAACCUCCACCUCGUCGCCCACGCCGCCGCCUUGCUCCGCCCUCGCCGUCCUCCUACCGAUGAGCAGCACUAGCAGGUCUUCCUCACUGCCCCUUCUCCCUUCCCCUUUCUCUUCUUCGGUGAGUCUUCCGCUAUCUCACCCGACCCCCUCUGUCGAUGUUCCCUGUUAUAGCGUCGACCACCUCCACGGGACCUUCUCCGGCCAUCCCUGUUGGUCGGCGGCCUCUCUUGCCCGUUGACUACGCCGCCGGAGCCCUGCCUUGCACCAUCUCCCCGUUGCCUGCGAGCUCGUGCUCGAGCCCUGCUUCUGUGGGCGUCCUCUGCAUUGACCACAUCCUGCUGACCAUGUUAACCCGCGACCUGGGCCGCAGCGUCGCCAGCCGCCUUCGCCAGCCCAGUCAGCCUCCUCUGCUCCGACCGGGCCUCAGCCCAUGGAUCUCUAGAGGACGGAUUUCUCCCCGCAAAAAAGGAAAGAGAAAAAAAAUGGAUUUCUUUCUUUCUUGCAGCUGAAUCUACCAAUAUCCAGUGGUCAACGGACAGGUUAGUAUGAGUAUCCUCAUAUGCUGUUAUGCCUCAUUUAACUUGUGCCCCAUCUAACUAUCUAUGCAUAUUAUAUUUACCUUUCUAUUCGUACAAUAUGAUGCCACUCUCUAUGAUUGAUUGAAAUAAUUGCAGUACUGCCUGUUGUUUUUGCCCUAUAUAUGUAGCAGGUUAGUUAGCAGGUUAAAAAUGCACAAACGAAACAGGAAUAUUGUUCAAGGUGCUGAUGCCUCCACAUCACAUUCUGGAUAUGAACACAUUAUGCCUAUCAGAUCACUUUCACAAAACUUCUUAUGCAGCAGAAUAAGCCAACCUAGUGAAACCGAAGUUCACUCGAUUAAUCCAGAGAACCUGCUUUAAUUUUGGGGGUGCAAAGAAUAGCAUCACUAAAGAAAAAAAAUCUAUAACUCGAUGCAGAGUUGGGGAAAGAGGGUAGGUAGGAAGGAGGGGACACUUGGAGAAGGGGGGAAGAUGAAUGUCAACCAUGCCCACCGGUGAAGGAUCUGCGGAAGUCUGGAGGGGAAUGGGGAAGGAGAACUGGAUGAUGGAGCCCAUGCUACCUGUAUGUGUAAUUCUACUGGUUUUAGUGCGUCUAACAUAUUCUUUAUCCUGCCAUUCAUUUAACAAAUUGCACAGCACGAAAAAUGAGUUCCUUAUCUCAGCCUAUAAUGUUCUUUUCCUGCAAUUUGAUGUCAAUAAAUCCAUUUUGACGCUUGCCCUGCUGAAAGUUACACCAUGAAAUAUAGAGGAUUUUAAUUGUGUCAGUAAGUUGUCAGAUUAUUAAACUUAUAAAGUUUUUUCUAUUAUUAUGCAUCUAUACAUGGGUACCUUGUGAAUUUAUGGUCGGAGCUGAGAGGAAGCUGAAAAUAGUAAACAAGUCAGCACAGGUUGGUUUUGAUGCAUUGCUUGCCAAUUUGAUACAUAUCGACAUACAGUACCAUGCUUGCUAUAUCGCACUGAUGGUCGAGCCCGGCCAUUGAAGCCCGACGACAGUGACAAUGGGAAGGAAAAUUUUUGGUUAGUCGGCCCUUCGUUAAUUUAUUCUAUGUGAUAAUAUUAGUCCGCACUAGGAUUUAGGCUGCAGUAAUUUCUUGAUAUAGAUGGAAUUAGCUAGGGGCAGCAAUCUCUUAUUUUAUCCUCACAAAAUGAUACCAGAAAUUAGACAUGCCAUGCUGAUUCUAUCAUUUCGAUUAAAUUUGUAACAGAUUGUGUUUGUGUUUGUGUAGUUAUGAAGAGUAAAAACAACGUAUAGAUUUUACAAGAUAGUUGGAUCAAGUAAAAAAAUGAAGGACCACAACAAACUAUUAAAAACAUUCAACAUAUUUGCUAUGUAUUAAUAAAUCUUUGUCUCAUAACAGUCCCUUUGGUUACUACAUACUUGUCCAUAGGACUAUAGCAGUCUUUGUUUCAUACGAUUCCACCAUUGUUGUCCUCUACAACAAGAAAAGAAAGUUUUCUACGAUGUCUUUGGCUCUUCCUAUACAAAAUUCUAAUACAACUAUGCGCUUGCUGAAGAAGUAAAAUAUAAAUUUGUUUAUCUCUGGACCCAUAUGAUUUAUUAUUGGGACAAAUAGCAUAAGCAUAUUAACUAAUGGUAAUGUUACUCAGACUUAUAUGUUACUAAAAUGAUGCACACUUACCUUAUUUGGCCUGAUUUGUUCUUUUUUUGUGAAUUUUUGAAUUUUUUGAAUUAUUGAUUUAUAGUUUUAGUUGUGUAUUAGCAUCUAAGAUGGAAUCAAAAUAAAUUAAAUAAAGAAAAAUAUUUUUCUCAGUCUCGUGUGCUAUAUUCCCUAACUCUCUCACCCAUGCAGGUGGAUUUUACAAGUUUUCAUUCUGCUUGAUAGCACUGCAGUGCCAUAAUUUGAGACAUGCAUAGAAGGCCCUGUCUUCUUAGAUGGACUAUAUGUUUAUAUGCUCAUAGUUAGUGUAAUGUAUUGUAGUGAUCCGCAUGUUACGCAAAUUCAUGUCAAUAUUCAAGGAUACAUUGCACUUUUUUCUAACUGAAAUGUGAACUGAUCAUAUGACUGAUAUAUGCUAUUAGGAGGUAUAUAUAAAUCCUCACAUAUUUUUUGAUUCCGUAAUGUUAUUACUUCCAUUUUUGUUAUUUAUGUUUCUUCCGUGCGCCUAGCUAUGUAUAAUAUCUAAUUUUAACAAAUGUGAUGCUCGCCUGCAACACGUAGCAACAAUUACAACAUGCUAUUUAUGACCAUCAUCGCUAUGUGCUUCUGUGUUGCUAAGCUAUUUUGUUUCCAGAAAUUUUCACGGCGAUGCGACUUAGGGUGAUCAUGAAGUAACCAUAAGUUCCGGAUCUUCAGAAAAAGAUGAUCCAUUAGAUUUUCGUAGUUAACUAAUUAACAUAGCUGUUAUGCCAUUUUACCGUUCUGACAUCAAGAGUGUACAUACCCAUAUCAUGGUGAUUGGUAAAAACAAGUUACCCUUCUACUUAAGAUUUGUGGUUACUUUUGAUUAACACAUAAUAACAUACAUUUCUAUGUAUCCAUAUAUUUCUGAA
This is a long non-coding RNA of Triticum dicoccoides, 3722 nucleotides long. RefSeq lists it as uncharacterized. The transcript is spliced from 2 exons. NCBI's taxonomy places the organism in Eukaryota, Viridiplantae, Streptophyta, Magnoliopsida, Poales, Poaceae. The record is from RefSeq and is a predicted model, not a curated record.